UAAGACCUGGCGGCAGCUUAACCAUGCAAGUCCAACGGUAACAGGAAGAAGCUUGCUUCUUUGCUGACGAGUGGCGGACGGGUGAGUAAUGCUUGGGAAUCUGGCUUAUGGAGGGGGAUAACUACUGGAAACGGUAGCUAAUACCGCGUAAUGUCUAAGGACUAAAGGGUGGGACCAUUUGGCCACCUGCCAUAAGAUGAGCCCAAGUGGGAUUAGGUAGUUGGUGAGGUAAAGGCUCACCAAGCCCGCGAUCUCUAGCUGGUCUGAGAGGAUGACCAGCCACACUGGAACUGAGACACGGUCCGGACUCCUACGGGAGGCAGCAGUGGGGAAUAUUGCACAAUGGGGGGAACCCUGAUGCAGCCAUGCCGCGUGAAUGAAGAAGGCCUUCGGGUUGUAAAGUUCUUUCGGUGACGAGGAAGGCGAUUGUUUUAAUAGAACAGUCGAUUGACGUUAAUCACAGAAGAAGCACCGGCUAACUCCGUGCCAGCAGCCGCGGUAAU
RNAcentral lists this ribosomal RNA (503 nucleotides) under uncultured bacterium. RNAcentral describes it as "bacterial SSU rRNA". It matches the Rfam family "Bacterial small subunit ribosomal RNA", at positions 36 to 524 of the family's 1533-position model. The record is from RNAcentral.